Quercus lobata is the source of this 615-nucleotide long non-coding RNA. RefSeq lists it as uncharacterized. The transcript has 2 exons. The record is from RefSeq and is a predicted model, not a curated record. NCBI's taxonomy places the organism in Eukaryota, Viridiplantae, Streptophyta, Magnoliopsida, Fagales, Fagaceae.
ACGGUUACAACUUAUGCUAUUCCCUAUGGAUUCAAAUUCCUCUCUCCCACGUUUUGUUACAUUGUUUCAGGUUUAGUUCCUUCCCCUUCCCCACCUUUUGAUUAUCACGGUUUCAGCUUCUAUUCUGUUGUUUCACUCACGGUUUCAUCUUCCUAUUCUACGGUUUUAGCUUCUGUUUUGGCUUCUAAUGGCAACCUCUCUGUCUUCCUUCUUCUCCUCACAUCUAUAUAAAUACUGAUGUAAGCUGGGUGGUUCAAUUGAGGGGCGGCGGCAGGCUUCACACUUGGAGACGGGGGAUGGAUAUUGAACCUGAUCGUAUAUCUGAUUUUGGUGUUCAAUUUGAAAAACAUAAAUGCUGCUCAGAUUUCAAACGUAGUGAGUUGUAGCACCAAUUUGCUUCCGGUCAUUGGAGCAAUUGUUGCUAACUCUUUCUUUGCUACUUUCCCUGUUGCUGCAGUUUCUACCUGUAUCUCUUUGCUGGUAAUACUCUUUACAGUGUUGCAACUUGCAAGAUGCACAGUCUAUUGUGUGUGUAGUUUGCUUGCUAGACUCUCUGUUAUGCGUUUAUCUCGAGUUAUAUUUAAUUUUUCAAUAUAAUUGAUUGAUUGAUAUUUU